RNAcentral lists this transfer RNA (76 nucleotides) under Puniceicoccales bacterium. RNAcentral's name for it is "tRNA-Ile". It matches the Rfam family "tRNA". Rfam says of the family: Transfer RNA (tRNA) molecules are approximately 80 nucleotides in length. Their secondary structure includes four short double-helical elements and three loops (D, anti-codon, and T loops). Lineage: Bacteria; Pseudomonadati; Verrucomicrobiota; Opitutia; Puniceicoccales. The record is from RNAcentral.
GGGCUCUUAGCUCAGUGGUUAGAGCAGGGGACUCAUAAUCCCUUGGUCGUAGGUUCAAAUCCUACAGGGCCCACCA